GGGUGGUCUUCUUUCUUGCUCCAAUAUAAUAAUAAGCCAUGGAUACAGAAGUAGCGAAUAUCACUGCAAUUAUGGAUGUCAAGGUUCCCCUCCACUCAUCGAUACGCCCACCUGUGUCAUCCCAGACUUCGAUCCUAACCACCCCAGUAUAGUGCAGUUUCGUGAGAGGGUGACAGAGCCCAAGGAGCUAGUUUGUUCAACAAAAGAUCCCUUGACUGAGGUUUCAGGGACAAAUCUCCUCUUCUACGAAGAGAGGCUGCCUUUGUAUGGGUCAUCAAAAGCGACCGUGAGCUGCUAUUAUCAGGCCAUUCAGAGGGUGGAACAAAAGCCCGAUAGAUAUGACAUAAACUGCGACAAUAAAUAUGUCUUGAAAGAGGCUGUUCCCAUCACCACGGCCAAGACGCUCAUUCACGAUGACGCAAUAGUCGUAACGUGUGACGACACUAAGUCCUGGUGGUCGGUCUACAAAG
This is a long non-coding RNA of Macrobrachium nipponense, 470 nucleotides long. RefSeq lists it as uncharacterized. The record is from RefSeq and is a predicted model, not a curated record. The transcript is spliced from 4 exons. NCBI's taxonomy places the organism in Eukaryota, Metazoa, Arthropoda, Malacostraca, Decapoda, Palaemonidae.